GUGCGAGACCGAUAGCGAACAAGUACCGUGAGGAAAAGAUGAAAAGAACUUUGAAAAGAGAGUUAAAGAGUACCUGAAACUGCUGAAAGGGAAGCGAAUCGUAUCCAGUGUCUAUAAUCUGCGGCAUAUUUCAUUGGCGGCGGUGCGCGUGCUUUUGCGUCGGAAGCGGCUUUUGUUGCUCUGUGCUUUUGCUGUGCGUGGUGUUGCUGGUGCCCUGUGUUGCGGUGGGACGUCAGAGUCAGUUUGUAUGCUGCGGGAAAUGGCUGCCGAGGAGGUAGGUCGAGAUUUCGGUCUUGGCUGUUAUAUCUUGGUGGUUUGUUGUCGUGGAUGAGACUGAGGUGCCUACAAUGUGCUUUUGAGUGUACCGGGUUCUCAUUUGGUGGACUGUUUGGAUAGCUUGCUAUGCUUGUGGUUUUUUCAUCGGGUGAUUGAGUCUGGUGGUAACUUGUUGCUGUUCGGGACUUUGA
RNAcentral lists this ribosomal RNA (467 nucleotides) under uncultured Oomycota. RNAcentral describes it as "LSU rRNA". It matches the Rfam family "Eukaryotic large subunit ribosomal RNA", at positions 326 to 629 of the family's 3401-position model. Lineage: Eukaryota; Oomycota. The record is from RNAcentral.